Molecule: ribosomal RNA, 497 nt
Filed under: uncultured bacterium
Lineage: Bacteria
Description: partial 16S ribosomal RNA
Rfam family: Bacterial small subunit ribosomal RNA
Source: RNAcentral
GAUGAACGCUGGCGGCGUGCCUAAUACAUGCAAGUCGAGCGAACGGACGAGAAGCUUGCUUUUCUGAUGUUAGCGGCGGACGGGUGAGUAACACGUGGAUAACCUACCUAUAAGACUGGGAUAACUUCGGGAAACCGGAGCUAAUACCGGAUAAUAUUUUGAACCGCAUGGUUCAAAAGUGAAAGACGGUCUUGCUGUCACUUAUAGAUGGAUCCGCGCUGCAUUAGCUAGUUGGUAAGGUAACGGCUUACCAAGGCAACGAUGCAUAGCCGACCUGAGAGGGUGAUCGGACACACUGGAACUGAGACACGGUCCAGACUCCUACGGGAGGCAGCAGUAGGGAAUCUUCCGCAAUGGGCGAAAGCCUGACGGAGCAACGCCGCGUGAGUGAUGAAGGUCUUCGGAUCGUAAAACUCUGUUAUUAGGGAAGAACAUAAGUGUAAGUAACUGUGCACAUCUUGACGGUACCUAAUCAGAAAGCCACGGCUAACUACGUG